AUGCGAUAAGUAAUGUGAAUUGCAGAAUUCAGUGAAUCAUCGAAUCUUUGAACGCACAUUGCGCCCACUAGUAUUCUGGUGGGCAUGCCUGUUCGAGCGUCAUUUCAACCCUCAAGCCUUAGUUGCUUGGUGUUGGGAGCUUAUCUUGCCGAAAGGCGGACAACUCCUUAAAACUAUUGGCGGAGUCGCGGUGACCCCAAGCGUAGUAAAUUUUCUUUUUCUCGCUUUAGGUGUUAGCGCUAUCUUCUAGCCGUUAAACCCCCUAAAUCUUUUAGUGGUUGACCUCGGAUCAGGUAGGACUACCCGCUGAACUUAA
This 316-nucleotide unclassified non-coding RNA is filed under the name uncultured Monosporascus. RNAcentral's name for it is "partial contains 5.8S ribosomal RNA, internal transcribed spacer 2, and large subunit ribosomal RNA". The stretch from base 1 to 102 matches the Rfam family "5.8S ribosomal RNA", at positions 53 to 154 of the family's 154-position model. The record is from RNAcentral. Lineage: Eukaryota; Fungi; Ascomycota; Sordariomycetes; Sordariales.